Cyprinus carpio carpio is the source of this 564-nucleotide long non-coding RNA. Lineage: Eukaryota; Metazoa; Chordata; Actinopteri; Cypriniformes; Cyprinidae. The record is from Ensembl.
GUCUUUUUAUAGAGUUCAUAGCCUGAUUUAUCUCUUAGCUAAUCACUAUUAGCAUGUAGCUAUUCACUGCUAGCAUGACUAGCAUGUUGGAAUUCCAGUUUGCUAGCAUGAGUCAAAAGAGCCAACCGCCAUGUCUGUACGAUGUUCUGAUUCAGAGAUAUAGGUCUUGCAAAACGGUUGCUAGGGUACUCUGUUUAGUUGCUAGGGAGUUCCUUGGCAUCUGCCAAUGAUGAUACUCAAAGGCUGCUUGCCAAUAUAAACCAACCCCCAUGUCUGUACGAUGUUCUGAUGCAGAGAUAUAGAUCUUGAAAAACGGUUGCUAGGGUACUCUGUUUGGUUGCUAAGGAGUGGCCAGGCAGCUGCCAAUGAUGAUACUCCAAAGGCUGCUUGCCAUAUGAAUGAUAGAAACCAACCCUUAUGGCUUUAUGACAUUCAGAUUUAAAGAUAUCCCUCUAUGCUUUGGGUUGCUAGGGUGCUCUAAAUGGUUGCUAGGGCGUGGCUAUGAAGUCUUGAAGGUGAUUCGUGAUUGGUCGUUUGCUGCCCCAGAGUCAAACGAGCCCACCC